RNAcentral lists this long non-coding RNA (277 nucleotides) under Nicotiana tabacum (common tobacco). RNAcentral describes it as "long non-coding RNA (NTAB_LNC013649)". Lineage: Eukaryota; Viridiplantae; Streptophyta; Magnoliopsida; Solanales; Solanaceae. The record is from RNAcentral.
GUUAAAAAGUUAAAGACAUGUAGUCCUGAACUUAGAGCUACAAGUUAAAAAGUUAAGGACAGGUAGUCCUGAACUUAGAGUUACAAGUUAAAAAGUUAAGGACAUGUAGUCCUGAACUUAGAGCUACAAGUUUAAAAGUAAAGGACAGGUAGUCCUGAACUUAGAGUUACAAGUUAAAAAGUUAAGGACAUGUUGUCCUUAACUUGGAUGGGUGCAAUGAAAAAGUUAAGGAUAUGGUGUCCUUAACUUUGAUGUGUGCAGUAAAAAUGUUAAGGAC